Non-coding RNA from Chrysemys picta bellii (western painted turtle), 3390 nucleotides. Lineage: Eukaryota; Metazoa; Chordata; Testudines; Emydidae. The record is from RefSeq and is a predicted model, not a curated record.
CGUCAGUAGCGGACAGGGUAGGUUGCGGUCUGUGUGUGUAUGUGGAGGAGGCAGUAGUCGCAGCCCACCUGGCCCGGAGGCUGGUCAGGAGGUAGGAGUCGCAGGAUGGAUGCAGCUACUCUGACCUAUGAUACUCUCAGGUUUGAGUAUGAAGACUUCCCUGAGACCAAAGAGCCUGUUUGGAUACUGGGGAGAACAUACAGUGUGUUCACAGAGAAAGAGGAGAUCCUGUUGGAUGUGACAUCUCGGCUUUGGUUCACAUACAGAAAGAACUUUCCUGCCAUUGGAGGAACAGGCCCCACGUCUGAUACUGGCUGGGGCUGCAUGUUGAGGUGUGGUCAGAUGAUCUUCGCUCAGGCAUUAGUCUGCCGGCACUUAGGCAGAGAUUGGAGGUGGGUGAAAGGGAAGAGGCAGACGGAUAAUUACUUCAACAUACUUAAUGCCUUCAUUGACAAAAAAGACAGCUACUACUCCAUCCACCAGAUAGCCCAGAUGGGAGUUGGAGAGGGCAAAUCGAUAGGCCAGUGGUACGGACCAAACACAGUUGCACAAGUGCUCAGAAAACUUGCCACUUUUGAUACAUGGAGCUCAUUGGCAGUGCACAUAGCCAUGGACAACACUGUAGUGAUGGAAGAAAUCAGACGGUUAUGCAAGUCCAAUUUCUUGUGUGCUGGGGCUGCAGCGUUCCCUGCUGCAGAGUCAGACGUGCUCUAUAAUGGGUUCCCGGUUGGAGCAGAGGUUACAGAUAGGUUGUCGCAAUGGAAACCAUUGGUGCUCCUGAUACCUCUUCGCCUUGGGCUCACGGAUAUCAAUGAAGCUUAUAUUGAAACACUAAAGCACUGCUUCAUGAUGCCUCAGUCCCUGGGAGUGAUUGGAGGGAAACCCAACAGUGCUCAUUACUUCAUUGGCUAUGUAGGUGAGGAGCUAAUUUACUUGGACCCCCAUACUACACAACCUGCAAUGGAACCCAGUGACAAUGGCUGUAUCCCUGAUGAGAGCUUCCACUGUCAGCACCCCCCCUGCCGAAUGAGCAUUGCUGAACUUGACCCAUCCAUCGCAGUGGGCUUUUUCUGCAACACAGAGGAAGACUUUAAUAACUGGUGCCAGCAAAUCAAAAAGGAAGUCUGCCAGAGACUGGGAAAGACCCCUGGUUUCCUCAGUCAGUCCCUGCAGCAGCAGUUUAACAAAGUAGCAAUGAGAAAAGGAAUUGAAGUGCACCGCAACCUUCUGAAAUUGCAUAAGGAAUUUGGCUGUCCUUGCUAAGAGGAGCUCUGCCAAUGUUUGAACUGGUAGAACAUCAGCCAUCACACUUUUCCAGCCCUGAUGUUCUGAAUCUCACACCAGACUCUUCUGAUGCAGACAGGUUGGAAAGAUUCUUUGACUCGGAGGAUGAAGACUUUGAAAUCUUAUCUCUUUGAAAAUAGAUAGGAAACUGACUGCACGUCUAUGUUGUGGGGUGGGGUGGGGUGGGGGGAAGAAGUUCCUUCAAGCACAUGGGCCCUUACUGGUUUUCAUAGGUGCUUGGUGACCUCCCUGCCUCCCAUCCAUCCCAGCAUUCUGUGCAGUCUCAAGCACAGUGUGCACUGUCUGCAUUGGGAUCAAGAAACAAGUCAUCAUUAAGGCUUCAGUGGCCAGAGUCAGGAUUUCUCAGCGCAAAACACGUGCAAGAAGUGGAUGCAGUGGUGCCAAGGAGUUCAAAGUUUUGUUUGUUGCAGCAGCAGCAGCUCAGCUGCCCCUACAAGAGUAACAGCAGAAAUCCCCCAUGGAGCUAAACCCUUAUGAGUAUUUCCCAGUGAUAUUUAAUCAGAGCUAUUCCUCUUUUGGGGGGUCAAAACCUAUACUGUUGCUAGUUCCUUCCACAGCUUUCCUGCUUAUGGCUGACUUGGGCUAAACUUAGAUUUAUGGAAAGCAAUGUAAAUUAAUAUCAGGCAUAUCCCAUAUGGAGCCUCCAGCCCAGUAGUAUGUGAGCUAGUCACUUGGAUGGUCACGUUUUCCAUAGUAAUAGGCCACACGCUGCUGCUCAUGUUUAAUAAUAGUUGCAGUGCUUUCUCACAAAAAACAGUGCUAUCUGUCUUCACUGUACCUAGAAGCUGCCUGCUCUUAUAAAGGGCAACCUUCUCUCAGAGGUGAAGCACUUCCUCUCUGGACAUUACCCUGAGGUUUUCCACAAGGUCUGAAGAUGACAACCAAAAGGGGAGGAGAAUCCCAGUUUAAAUAAAAGGAGGAAGGAAGAAAAUUAUGUAUGUGAGGGCCAUAGUCUCAUGGCUGAGUCAUCGAAACACCAAGGCUCUGAAAAAGAUGGAUUGACAAAUACAGCAGUGAGGUGUCUUCAUUAAAGUGUCUGUUAAGAGAGCUAGACAGAGUCCUGUGAGAGGUUGAGAUGUUUAUAAAUCUUAAGAGCCUGAUAUUGCUUUUAGUUAAAAAUGAUUGAGGGGGGCCUGAGGCAGAACAGGAAGACUGAGAAUUUACCAUGUCCUUUCUCAUACCUAAACCCUUUCCUGACUCCAUACGGUGCCUGGUGUUGGUAUGUAAGGUUUCACCUUUGUGAAUUAGUCCUUAACCCAACAGUUUUUGGUGCCACAAAGCAUCCUGUGUAGCACCACUCCUCCUGGGUAGAUUGAAUAGUUCCAGCUACUGCUCCCAUUUGACUCUGUGCUUUCAAAAUGAUGUAUAAGGGGGCUUGAAAUUUAAUUGGACAUAGAAUAUAUGUUUGGUACCAUUUCAGAUACUAUUCUGCAGCUUCCCUCUAUAUGAUCCUUCUAGCACAGUGUGGCAAAUGCAUACUGUAGAAGCUAGGCCAAAGAAACCUAUUUUAAGUGAUCAUCUGAAGAGGUCAGGAAAAAACUGGUUGCCUAGAAAAGUUGAUAGUUAAAUAUCAAACACAACUGUACUGGAAACCUUGGAGUUACUUUAAUAACUUUACAUGAUCUUGCCUGUGGCCCAUAAUAUCUAUUUAGUAAAAAUGAGCUGGAUCAAAACCAGAUGUAUAGGAGAACUGUGUCCUGGUGUGAGCCACCAUAGAAGUGAAGUCUUCUCCUUUCUCCAGGACUUCUGCAGAUGGCAAAUUCAUGUUUGCAAUGCAUUUGGGAACAGCACUUGUCAGUUGAUGCUUUUGUGCCCAGAAGGUACAUAAACGCUCUCCUCCAUGACAAGGCUGACUGACAUAGUGAUGCUAAUCUUAUUAUCUACCCUUAAUCUCCCAGAGAUUUUAACUCUUGAGCCAUGAUGCUUCUGUCACUAAAUUACUUGCUGCUUUCUCUCUGCUGCUGUUCCUCCUCAUCUCUUGCAUUAAUUUUAAGGGGGGGGCGGGGAGAUAGUGGAGGAAGUGGGGCUGUGCUCCAUUCAUCAACUGCUUUCAAUUUGUAUCUGAAUAAACAAACUUAAAAUCUU